Molecule: transfer RNA, 74 nt
Filed under: Candidatus Jacksonbacteria bacterium
Lineage: Bacteria; Candidatus Jacksoniibacteriota
Description: tRNA-Val
Rfam family: tRNA
About the family: Transfer RNA (tRNA) molecules are approximately 80 nucleotides in length. Their secondary structure includes four short double-helical elements and three loops (D, anti-codon, and T loops). Further hydrogen bonds mediate the characteristic L-shaped molecular structure. tRNAs have two regions of fundamental functional importance: the anti-codon, which is responsible for specific mRNA codon recognition, and the 3' end, to which the tRNAs corresponding amino acid is attached (by aminoacyl-tRNA synthetases). tRNAs cope with the degeneracy of the genetic code in two manners: having more than one tRNA (with a specific anti-codon) for a particular amino acid; and 'wobble' base-pairing, i.e. permitting non-standard base-pairing at the 3rd anti-codon position.
Source: RNAcentral
GGGUGUAUAGCUCAGCUGGUUAGAGCGUUUCGUUGACAUCGAAGAGGUCCGAGGUUCGAGUCCUCGUACACCCA